RNAcentral lists this ribosomal RNA (333 nucleotides) under Triticum aestivum (bread wheat). Its description in RNAcentral is "partial small subunit ribosomal RNA". The record is from RNAcentral. Lineage: Eukaryota; Viridiplantae; Streptophyta; Magnoliopsida; Poales; Poaceae.
AUGAAGCUAAUCAGUUGGAACUGCCGUGGAAUGCUUUCGCCCACGACAAUUCGAGAGCUCUUGGAUCUUCAAGGGCGUGUGAAAGCGGAUGUGAUUUUCUUGUCUGAAUCCCAUCUGAAUACAGCUAAGGCAACUGAGCUAAGGGUGAAGCUAGGUUUUGAUCGUUUUCAUAUUGUUGAUAGUGAUGGACGAUCAGGAGGUCUUGCACUUUUUUACAACCUUUCUAAUGAAGUGGUGUUAAAUUAUGCGUCGCCUAAUUUCAUUGAUGGUUUUGUCAUGGAUGGAAUCAACGUGUCAUGGCGGCUGACUGGUUUUUAUGGAGAGCCAAACUAG